Molecule: ribosomal RNA, 427 nt
Filed under: uncultured bacterium
Lineage: Bacteria
Description: bacterial SSU rRNA
Rfam family: Bacterial small subunit ribosomal RNA
Source: RNAcentral
UGGGGAAUUUUGGACAAUGGGCGCAAGCCUGACCCAGCAAUGCCGCGUGAGUGAAGAAGGCCUUCGGGUUGUAAACCUCUUUUGUCCGGGACGAAACGGUUCUUUCUAAUAUCUCUUGCCAAUGACGGUACCUUAAGAAUAAGCACCGGCUAACUACGUGCCAGCAGCCGCGGUAAUACGUAGGGUCCAAGCGUUAAUCGGAAUUACUGGGCGUAAAGCGUGCGCAGGCGGUUUUGUAAGUCUGAUGUGAAAUCCCCUGGCUCAACCUGGGAAUUGCAAUGGAGACUGUAAGGCUAGAAUUAGGAAGAAGGAAGUAGAAUACCACGUGUAGCAGUGAAAUGCGUAGAUAUGUGGUGGAACACCGAUGGCGAAGGCAGCUUACUGGGUCAAGAUUGACGCUGAUGCACGAAAGCGUGGGGAGCAAACA